Molecule: ribosomal RNA, 65 nt
Filed under: Pardosa chapini
Lineage: Eukaryota; Metazoa; Arthropoda; Arachnida; Araneae; Lycosidae
Description: partial 28S ribosomal RNA
Rfam family: Eukaryotic large subunit ribosomal RNA
Source: RNAcentral
CACGCGAGACGACCCGCUGAAUUUAAGCAUAUAAAUAAGCGGAGGAAAAGAGACCAACAGGAUUC